GAUAAACGCUGGCGGCGCACAUAAGACAUGCAAGUCGAACGAACUUAACCAUUAGUUUACUAUUGGAGCGGUUAGUGGCGGACUGGUGAGUAACACGUAAGCAACCUGCCUAUCAGAGGGGAACAACAGUUAGAAAUGACUGCUAAUACCGCAUAAGCCUUAGCAACGCAUGUUGCAAAAGGAAAAGGAGCAAUCCGCUGAUAGAUGGGCUUGCGUCUGAUUAGCUAGUUGGUGAGGUAACGGCCCACCAAGGCGACGAUCAGUAGCCGAACUGAGAGGUUGGACGGCCACACUGGGACUGAGAUACGGCCCAGACUCCUACGGGAGGCAGCAGUCGGGAAUAUUGCGCAAUGGAGGAAACUCUGACGCAGUGACGCCGCGUGCAGGAAGAAGGUUUUCGGAUUGUAAACUGCUUUAGACAGGGAAGAAGAAAGACAGUACCUGUAGAAUAAGCUCCGGCUAACUACGUGCCAGCAGCCGCGGUAAUACGUAGGGAGCAAGCGUUAUCCGGAUUUAUUGGGUGUAAAGGGUGCGUAGACGGGGAACCAAGUUAGUUGUGAAAUCCCUUGGCUUAACUGAGGAACUGCAACUAAAACUAAUUUUCUUGAGUGCUGGAGAGGAAAGUGGAACUCCUAGUGUAGCGGUGAAAUGCGUAGAUAUUAGGAAGAACACCAGUGGCGAAGGCGACUUUCUGGACAGUAACUGACGUUGAGGCACGAAAGUGUGGGGAGCAAACAGGAUUAGAUACCCUGGUAGUCCACACCGUAAACGAUGGAUACUAGGUGUAGGAUGUGAUAAACAUUCUGUGCCGUCGCAAACGCAGUAAGUAUCCCACCUGGGGAGUACGGCCGCAAGGUUGAAACUCAAAGGAAUUGACGGGGGCCCGCACAAGCAGUGGAGUAUGUGGUUUAAUUCGACGCAACGCGAAGAACCUUACCAGGGCUUGACAUAUACAGGAAUAACUAAGAGAUUAGUUAGCUCUUCGGAGUCUGUAUACAGGUGGUGCAUGGUUGUCGUCAGCUCGUGUCGUGAGAUGUUGGGUUAAGUCCCGCAACGAGCGCAACCCCUGUUCUUAGUUGCCAGCAUGUAAAGAUGGGAACUCUAAGAAGACUGCCGGUGACAAAUCGGAGGAAGGUGGGGACGACGUCAAAUCAUCAUGCCCUAUAUGUCCUGGGCUACACACGUACUACAAUGGCUAUGACAAAGAGAAGCGAAACCGCGAGGUGGAGCAAAACUCAAAAAAGUAGUCUCAGUUCAGAUUGAAGGCUGAAAUUCGCCUUCAUGAAGGCGGAAUUGCUAGUAAUGGCAGGUCAGCAUACUGCCGUGAAUACGUUCCCGGGCCUUGUACACACCGCCCGUCACACCAUGAGAGUUGGGGAUACCCGAAGCCCGUGAGCCAACUGUAAAGAGGCAGCGGUCGAAGGUAGAAUCAAUGAUUGGGGUGA
RNAcentral lists this ribosomal RNA (1445 nucleotides) under uncultured bacterium. RNAcentral describes it as "bacterial SSU rRNA". It matches the Rfam family "Bacterial small subunit ribosomal RNA". The record is from RNAcentral.